CCUACGGGGGGCAGCAGUGGGGAAUAUUGCACAAUGGGGGGAACCCUGAUGCAGCGACGCCGCGUGGGUGAAGGAGUAUUUCGGUAUGUAAAGCCCUAUCAGCAGGGAAGAACAAUGACGGUACCUGACUAAGAAGCACCGGCUAAAUACGUGCCAGCAGCCGCGGUAAUACGUAUGGGGCAAGCGUUAUCCGGAUUUACUGGGUGUAAAGGGAGCGUAGACGGCUGUGCAAGUCUGAAGUGAAAGCCCGUGGCUCAACCGCGGAACUGCUUUGGAAACUGUAUAGCUUGAGUACUGGAGAGGCAGGCGGAAUUCCUAGUGUAGCGGUGAAAUGCGUAGAUAUUAGGAAGAACACCAGUGGCGAAGGCGGCCUGCUGGACAGAAACUGACGUUGAGGCUCGAAAGCGUGGGGAGCAAACAGGAUUAGAUACCCGGGUAGUC
This 441-nucleotide ribosomal RNA is filed under the name uncultured bacterium. RNAcentral describes it as "partial 16S ribosomal RNA". It matches the Rfam family "Bacterial small subunit ribosomal RNA", at positions 338 to 795 of the family's 1533-position model. The record is from RNAcentral.